This 428-nucleotide ribosomal RNA is filed under the name uncultured Brasilonema sp. RNAcentral describes it as "bacterial SSU rRNA". It matches the Rfam family "Bacterial small subunit ribosomal RNA", at positions 355 to 798 of the family's 1533-position model. Lineage: Bacteria; Bacillati; Cyanobacteriota; Cyanophyceae; Nostocales; Scytonemataceae. The record is from RNAcentral.
UGGGGAAUUUUCCGCAAUGGGCGAAAGCCUGACGGAGCAAUACCGCGUGAGGGAGGAAGGCUCUUGGGUUGUAAACCUCUUUUCUCAGGGAAUAAGUACUGAAGGUACCUGAGGAAUCAGCAUCGGCUAACUCCGUGCCAGCAGCCGCGGUAAUACGGAGGAUGCAAGCGUUAUCCGGAAUGAUUGGGCGUAAAGCGUCCGCAGGUGGUUAUUCAAGUCUGCUGUCAAAGAAUCUGGCUCAACCAGAUAAAGGCAGUGGAAACUGAGUGACUAGAGUAUGGUAGGGGUAGAGGGAAUUCCUGGUGUAGCGGUGAAAUGCGUAGAGAUCAGGAAGAACACCGGUGGCGAAAGCGCUCUGCUGGACCAUAACUGACACUGAGGGACGAAAGCUAGGGGAGCGAANGGGAUUAGAUACCCCNGUAGUCANA